This 207-nucleotide non-coding RNA is filed under the name Gammaproteobacteria bacterium. Lineage: Bacteria; Pseudomonadati; Pseudomonadota; Gammaproteobacteria. The record is from RNAcentral.
ACAGUAGCGCCAGCUUUUGGUGUUCUAAAGACAUCUGUCUGAAGAAUUAAACGGGAAGUCGGUGCGCCAUCAGGCAAACCCGACGCUGCCCCCGCAACGGUAAACGAGUAAAGACCGGCAUCAUGCCACUGUGCAAUCGCAUGGGAAGGCGCCGGUCGGAAACUUCCACUCGUGAGCCCGGAGACCGGCCCGAAGCAGAACCAUAGG